AAAAAAGAACCGCACGCGUACAACUAGGCAAAGCGAUUUCCAACAAGGCAACAACCGAUCGAAGGAGAGGAAGCGAAUCGCGUUGGGCAAGACAAUGGCGGCGCAGCUGGUGCAGGUGGUGACAAGGCUUGGCAAUCGCUUAGGGGCAUCUACGGGUCUUUUCAAGCCAACGCCUGCCCAGAGCAAAGCGGAGGUCCAGGCUUUCCUACAAUCGCUUCCUAUUGACUACAAUAAUAUCGAUGGUGAGGCUGCGAGGAUCUAUGCGAGUCUCAAGAGGAAAGGUCCAGAAAUACCCUUGGAUACUGUGACCCUUUGUCUCAAGUCAGCGCGUGACAUCAUCGCGAGCAAAUGAUAUUUGGAUCUAUGCUAUGCAAGUAUCUUCUUGCUUAAUUUGUAAGGUCGAAUUGUUCUCCAUAUUUAGAAAUACCUGACAGCCUGCCAGAUUGGAGUGUAAGCUUUCGUGCCGGUAUUUAUAGCGGCCUGCGAACCAUCUCGUUCUACAUUAUGUUUUGCUGGA
Molecule: long non-coding RNA, 517 nt
Organism: Triticum aestivum (bread wheat)
Lineage: Eukaryota; Viridiplantae; Streptophyta; Magnoliopsida; Poales; Poaceae
Exons: 2
Source: RefSeq, a predicted model, not a curated record